CUAUAGGGGUUGGCUCAGUACUACUGUCUAUAGGGGUUGGCUCAGCAUUACUGUCUAUAGGGGUUGGCUCAGCAUUACUGUCUAUAGGGGUUGGCUCAGUACUACUGUCUGUAGGGGUUGGCUCAGUACUACUGUCUAUAGGGGUUGGCUCAGCACUACUCUCUAUAGGUGUUGGCUCUGCAUUACUGUCUAUAGGGGUUGGCUCAGUACUACUGUCUUUAGGGGUUGGCUCAGUACUACUCUCUAUAGGGGUUGGCUCAGUAUGACCGUCUAUAGGGGUUGGCUCAGUACUACUGUCUAUAGGGGUUGGCUCAGUAUUACUGUCUAUAGGGGUUGGCUCAGUACUACUGUCUAUAGGGGUUGGCUCAGUAUUACUGUCUAUAGGGGUUGGCUCAA
Long non-coding RNA from Oncorhynchus tshawytscha (Chinook salmon), 396 nucleotides. RefSeq lists it as uncharacterized. The record is from RefSeq and is a predicted model, not a curated record. The transcript has 3 exons. NCBI's taxonomy places the organism in Eukaryota, Metazoa, Chordata, Actinopteri, Salmoniformes, Salmonidae.